This 192-nucleotide long non-coding RNA is filed under the name Amphimedon queenslandica. RNAcentral's name for it is "uncharacterized LOC109583377, transcript variant X1". The record is from RNAcentral. Lineage: Eukaryota; Metazoa; Porifera; Demospongiae; Haplosclerida; Niphatidae.
UCUUUGUUGCCGUCUUGUUUCAUUGAGCUUCAUAAGCAACAGUUGAUGUUAACUCCAUGGGAGCAGAUACUUAAAUCAGCUCAAAAUGUGCUCUUCAAUGAAGAACUGUUUGCACAGAUUGUACAAUCAUUUGUGAUGAGGAACUUGUAUUAUAUAAUGUGAAACUGCACAAGAGGAAAGUUUUACUAGGUC